UCAUGGCUCAGAUUGAACGCUGGCGGCAGGCYUAACACAUGCAAGUCGAGCGGUAGCACAGAGAGCUUGCUCUCGGGUGACGAGCGGCGGACGGGUGAGUAAURUCUGGGAAACUGCCUGAUGGAGGGGGAUAACUACUGGAAACGGUAGCUAAUACCGCAUAACGUCGCAAGACCAAAGUGGGGGACCUUCGGGCCUCAUGCCAUCAGAUGUGCCCAGAUGGGAUUAGCUAGUAGGUGGGGUAAUGGCUCACCUAGGCGACGAUCCCUAGCUGGUCUGAGAGGAUGACCAGCCACACUGGAACUGAGACACGGUCCAGACUCCUACGGGAGGCAGCAGUGGGGAAUAUUGCACAAUGGGCGCAAGCCUGAUGCAGCCAUGCCGCGUGUAUGAAGAAGGCCUUCGGGUUGUAAAGUACUUUCAGCGAGGAGGAAGGC
Molecule: ribosomal RNA, 437 nt
Filed under: Klebsiella ornithinolytica
Lineage: Bacteria; Pseudomonadati; Pseudomonadota; Gammaproteobacteria; Enterobacterales; Enterobacteriaceae
Description: bacterial SSU rRNA
Rfam family: Bacterial small subunit ribosomal RNA
Source: RNAcentral